This 66-nucleotide transfer RNA is filed under the name Fasciolopsis buskii. Its description in RNAcentral is "Fasciolopsis buski tRNA-Arg". The record is from RNAcentral. Lineage: Eukaryota; Metazoa; Platyhelminthes; Trematoda; Plagiorchiida; Fasciolidae.
UUUGAUAACUAUGUNGGGGUUACGUUUCGGCCGUAAUUGUGGAGUAUUUAUUUGCUUCUAUCAAAG